UAGAGAGGACGACCUCCCAAGCUCGUCUAUAGAGAGGACGACCUC
This is a non-coding RNA of Musca domestica (house fly), 45 nucleotides long. The record is from Rfam. Lineage: Eukaryota; Metazoa; Arthropoda; Insecta; Diptera; Muscidae.